Molecule: ribosomal RNA, 312 nt
Filed under: Triticum aestivum (bread wheat)
Lineage: Eukaryota; Viridiplantae; Streptophyta; Magnoliopsida; Poales; Poaceae
Description: partial small subunit ribosomal RNA
Source: RNAcentral
AUGGUGACGAGGCCAUUGUCUUCAGUGUUGAAGAUGGACUUGGCGAUGUAUGCUGAGGCUAGAGCCAGGCUUGCCACGCCUGAAUCAGAUUCCUCUUCAGACUCCAUCUCCACCUCCUCAGAUGCAGACUCCUCCUCUGAAUCCAUCUCCUUGCCAACAAACGCACGAGCCUUGCUGGAUGAGCUCUUCUUGUGUGAUGAAGACUUUGACGAAGACUUAGAAAAAGACUUUGAUGAUUUCUUCUUCUUCUUGUCAUCAGAAUCAUAUUCCUUGCUCUUCUUCUUCUUGUUGUUGCUCUCAUUGUCCCAUUGA